This 98-nucleotide signal recognition particle RNA is filed under the name Treponema sp. Its description in RNAcentral is "signal recognition particle sRNA small type". It matches the Rfam family "Bacterial small signal recognition particle RNA". From Rfam's summary of the family: The signal recognition particle (SRP) is a universally conserved ribonucleoprotein involved in the co-translational targeting of proteins to membranes. Archaeal SRP consists of a 7S RNA and homologues of the eukaryotic SRP19 and SRP54 proteins. The record is from RNAcentral. Lineage: Bacteria; Pseudomonadati; Spirochaetota; Spirochaetia; Treponematales; Treponemataceae.
GGUCAGGAACCAUGCGGGCAGCCGCCGCCCAACUCCGCCAGGUCCGGAAGGAAGCAACGGCAAGCGGUGGGCGCCGCGACAUGGUAUUUCUGGCCGCG